Molecule: long non-coding RNA, 2932 nt
Organism: Salvia splendens (bonfire salvia)
Lineage: Eukaryota; Viridiplantae; Streptophyta; Magnoliopsida; Lamiales; Lamiaceae
Exons: 8
Source: RefSeq, a predicted model, not a curated record
AGCUUCAUAAAAAGGAAUUUUAAAGCCACAAAAGUAAGGUAGGAAGGUAAGACGAAUCUUGUAAAGAUGACAGGAAAGAUUGCAGUAUAUAUUUAAAGAAAACAAUUUUAUCCGUCAAUCAAAACUGAAUGUUUGGAAAGUAUCGAAGAUGAUCUAAAUUGACAUAGUAUUAUGUUUUUUAUUCUGAUAAAGAUACACUGGUAGAGGUUUGUUUUCAGCAUUUUGGUAUGUGAGAAGGUACCAGGUUUCCCAGCAAGGCAGGAAAUCCGAGCUUUUAUUGUAGUCGUCAAAUCCUGGUCUUUGAGGAUUCUGAAAUCGCGGGCCUUGGAAGCUGGUUGAGCACUCAAUUAGUGUCAAGUAAAGAUACUUUCUAUGAGGAUCAGUCAUUAAACAUCAACGUGUGACUCACCUUACGCUGAGUAUUGCUUUACGAGCUGUUUUAGAUGCUUUGAGUAAGCCUGCAGAUCGGCAUUGGAGCAGUUUGUGGACCGUAUCAUUGAGUAUUACUUCUCCAGUUUAGUUCUGACCACCUCACUAUUUAUUACAACGAGUUGAAGGGUAUAAAGCUGCAACCAAUAUUUGCUUCAAUAUUCAAACAUUUAUUUAAUAAACCUAACUUUAGUUCGAUAUUAAGUGUGCCAUUUCAUACUAAAGCCAUCAAUGAAGAACUACUGCAAAAUCUUUCUGAUGCUCUACACUUAUCGGUACCGGAUAAAAUUGGAGUUGGUCUUGCUUUGUCUAAUUCUGAAGAACACGAUAUCUUUAUGAUACUAAGAAGUGUGGUUAGUUAUUCUCUUCUUUGUACAUACAUUUAGAUAUAUUGUUUUGUUUAGUUGUAGGAAGUGGAAUACAUACAUAAGUUUUUUCUCCUUGGAAUUCUUCCGCAUGUUUCACUAAACCUAUAACCCUUUUCUUGGCUGUAUGCAGGAAAGAAUUUCUGUUUGACACAAUUUAGAGAGCUGUGUGCCAAACCUACUGCGUUUGAGGCUACUGUGAUAAUUCAGCAUAUUCUCGUGUUACUCUUAGUCAAUUUGAAGUCUUUAAUUAUUUAGAUUCAUUCUUGCAAAUGUUAUCUCUUGUUCCACUACUAAGGUUUUUCUGUUAUAGUUCCUAAUGCAUAAAUAGACUAGAAUGUACUUGGUCGAUAUAAAGGUCGAGGGUGGUAGGGGGCGACUAACUUCUUAACUUAAGAGAAACGGCGGAAUAGGGUGGAAAACAAAAGGCACAAGUCUAUUUAUUGGUUUUUGAGCUUGCUUUGCUUGAUCUUCUGCUUCUUGGUUGUUGCGCCUACAAUUUUCUAUUUAUUCAAUUCAUUCUUUGCUGCCUUUUGCAGCUUUAUAAUUAACCUGUAACAUAUAUUAUAUUUUUGUGUGUUAUGACGUUUUUCUACUUUUUUCUAAUCCCCUGUUUGCUACCUUGCAGCUUUAUAAUUAAUACAUACAUAGUAUCCUAGUUUCUUUGUCUUAUAUGCCGUGUACAAAUAUGUCUUAUAUUAGUUAUUCUUUGAUAUAUAAACCCCAUUGAUUGUCAAAUCUUGGCAUCUUAAUAUAUCUGUUAAUUGUUUUUAUAGGCUCUUUCCCAAGUACUUACUAGACACAUUUCCUUUUUACUUCGGCAUUAGGUUUGCUGAACUUGCUUCUAAAAAAAGAAAUCGUGGGCCUUGGAAGCUGGUUGAGCACUCAAAUAGUGUCGAGUAAAGAUACUUUCUAGAGGAUCAGUCAUUAAGCAUCAACUUGUGACUAACCUUAUGCUGGGUAUUGCUUUACGAGCUGUUUUCGAUGCUUUGAGGAAGCUUGCAAAUUCAAAAGUUUGUUCCUUCCUAGGCAUUGGAGCAGUUUGUGGGUCAUCUCAUUAAGAAUUAUUGAUCCAGUUCAGAUUUGAGCACCUCACUAUUUAUUCCAGCAAGUUGAAGGGUAUAAAGCUGCAACCAAUAAUUGCUUCACUAUUCAAAUAUUUAUUUAUUAAACCUAACUUUAGUUCGAUAUUAAGUGUGUCAUUUCAUACUAAAGCCAUCAAUGAAGAACUACUGCAAAAUCUUUCUGAUGCUCUACACUUGUCGGUACCUAAUAAAAUUUGGGUUGGACUUUCUUUGUUUAAUUAUGAGGAACACGAUAUCUGCACGAUACCAGGAUGUGUGGUUAGUUAUUCUCUUAUUUGUACAUACAUUUAGAUAUAAUUUUUUGUUUAGUUGUAGGAAGUGGAAUACAUACAACAGUUUAUUAUUUUUCUCUCCUUGGAAUUCUUCUACGUGUUGCACUAAACCUGUAACCCUUUUCUUUGUUGUAUGCAGGAAAGACUUUCUGUUUGAGUCAGAUUGCUGCGUUUGAGGCUACUGAGAUAAUUCAGCAUAUUCUUGUGUUAUUCUUGGGAAACUAGGGUGUUUUCCGUGAUAGUUCCUAGUUGUCUAUAAUGUUGUAAAAUACGCUUCAACCUAACUAUGUUACUUGUAAUGUUACCCCGUUCUAAAAUUUUCAACUUGCCUAUAAUGUUUAUCCUUUGUGAAUGCUUGUGCUUCAGGAUCAGUCAUUAAGCAUCAACUUGUGACUAACCUUAUUCUGGGUAUUGCUUUACGAGCGGUUUUCAAUGCUUUGAGGAAGCUUGCAAAUUCAAAAGUUUGUUCCUUCCUAGGCAUUGGAACAGUUUGUGGACCGUCUCAUUUAGUGGCCACUGUACUGCCAUCAUAUCCUGCACUUUGUAACAUUUAUAGGGAGGGCACUUAACAGUAUUUCAGCGGCUUAUACUGAACUGAUGUUAGCCAUAGUGCCAAUACUGAUCACCGACACAGUCAUAUUCAAUCUUCAUCUCCACAUAUAGAGACUGCAGGCCCACCAUUUUCUCUGAUCGGACCCGGCAGCAUAUUGUCUGGAUUAGCAAUUCCCUCUUCGAUCCCACUACAACAGAGACCACCAAGUUCUCUAGAUGAGAGUUCACU